RNAcentral lists this ribosomal RNA (1351 nucleotides) under uncultured bacterium. RNAcentral's name for it is "bacterial SSU rRNA". It matches the Rfam family "Bacterial small subunit ribosomal RNA". The record is from RNAcentral.
AGAGUUUGAUCCUGGCUCAGGACGAACGCUGGCGGCGCGCCUAACACAUGCAAGUCGAACGAGCGAGAGAGAGCUUGCUUUCUCGAGCGAGUGGCGAACGGGUGAGUAACGCGUGAGGAACCUGCCUCAAAGAGGGGGACAACAGUUGGAAACGACUGCUAAUACCGCAUAAGCCCACGGUGCCGCAUGGCACAGAGGGAAAAGGAGCAAUCCGCUUUGAGAUGGCCUCGCGUCCGAUUAGCUAGUUGGUGAGGUAAUGGCCCACCAAGGCGACGAUCGGUAGCCGGACUGAGAGGUUGAACGGCCACAUUGGGACUGAGACACGGCCCAGACUCCUACGGGAGGCAGCAGUGGGGAAUAUUGCACAAUGGGGGAAACCCUGAUGCAGCGACGCCGCGUGGAGGAAGAAGGUCUUCGGAUUGUAAACUCCUGUUGUUGGGGAAGAUAAUGACGGUACCCAACAAGGAAGUGACGGCUAACUACGUGCCAGCAGCCGCGGUAAAACGUAGGUCACAAGCGUUGUCCGGAAUUACUGGGUGUAAUGGGAGCGCAGGCGGGAAGACAAGUUGGAAGUGAAAUCUAUGGGCUCGACCCAUAAACUGCUUUCAAAACUGUUUUUCUUGAGUAGUGCAGAGGUAGGCGGAAUUCCCGGUGUAGCGGUGGAAUGCGUAGAUAUCGGGAGGAACACCAGUGGCGAAGCGGCCUACUGGGCACCAACUGACGUGAGCUGAAAGUGUGGUAGCAAACAGAUUAGAUACCGUAGUCCCACCGUAAACGAUGAUUACUAGGUGUGAGAUGACCCCAGUGCCGCAGUUAACACAAUAAGUAAUCCACUGGGAGUACGACCGCAAGGUUGAAACUCAAAGGAAUUGACGGGGGCCCGCACAAGCAGUGGAGUAUGUGGUUUAAUUCGACGCAACGCGAAGAACCUUACCAAGUCUUGACAUCCCUUGACAGGCAUAGAAAUAUGUUUUCUCUUCGGAGCAAGGAGACAGAAAAGUAAAAAGUUGUCGUCAGCUCGUGUCGUGAGAUGUUGGGUUAAGUCCCGCAACGAGCGCAACCCUUAUGGUCAGUUACUACGUAAGAGGACUCUGGCCAGACUGCCGUUGACAAAACGGAGGAAGGUGGGGAUGACGUCAAAUCAUCAUGCCCUUUAUGACUUGGGCUACACACGUACUACAAUGGCGUUAAACAAAGAGAAGCAAGACCGCGAGGUGGAGCAAAACUCAGAAACAACGUCCCAGUUCGGACUGCAGGCUGCAACUCGCCUGCACGAAGUCGGAAUUGCUAGUAAUCGUGGAUCAGCAUGCUACGGUGAAUACGUUCCCGGGCCUUGCACACACCGCCCGUC